AGUGGCGGACGGGUGAGUAACGCGUAAGAAUCUAACUUCAGGACGGGGACAACAGUUGGAAACGACUGCUAAUACCCGAUGUGCCGCAAGGUGAAACCUAAUUGGCCUGAAGAAGAGCUUGCGUCUGAUUAGCUAGUUGGUGGGGUAAGAGCCUACCAAGGCGACGAUCAGUAGCUGGUCUGAGAGGAUGAGCAGCCACACUGGGACUGAGACACGGCCCAGACUCCUACGGGAGGCAGCAGUGGGGAAUUUUCCGCAAUGGGCGAAAGCCUGACGGAGCAACGCCGCGUGAGGGAGGAAGGUCUUUGGAUUGUAAACCUCUUUUCUCAAGGAAGAAGUUCUGACGGUACUUGAGGAAUCAGCCUCGGCUAACUCCGUGCCAGCAGCCGCGGUAAUACGGGGGAGGCAAGCGUUAUCCGGAAUUAUUGGGCGUAAAGCGUCCGCAGGUGGUCAGCCAAGUCUGCUGUCAAAUCAGGUUGCUUAACGACCUAAAGGCGGUGGAAACUGGCAGACUAGAGAGCAGUAGGGGUAGCAGGAAUUCCCAGUGUAGCGGUGAAAUGCGUAGAGAUUGGGAAGAACAUCGGUGGCGAAAGCGUGCUACUGGGCUGUAUCUGACACUCAGGGACGAAAGCUAGGGGAGCGAAAGGGAUUAGAUACCCCUGUAGUCCUAGCCGUAAACGAUGGAUACUAGGCGUGGCUU
This 700-nucleotide ribosomal RNA is filed under the name uncultured bacterium. RNAcentral's name for it is "bacterial SSU rRNA". It matches the Rfam family "Bacterial small subunit ribosomal RNA", at positions 94 to 828 of the family's 1533-position model. The record is from RNAcentral.